Molecule: ribosomal RNA, 522 nt
Filed under: uncultured bacterium
Lineage: Bacteria
Description: bacterial SSU rRNA
Rfam family: Bacterial small subunit ribosomal RNA
Source: RNAcentral
AAUAGAUACCCUGGUAGUCCACGCCGUAAACGAUGAGUGCUAAGUGUUAGAGGGUUUCCGCCCUUUAGUGCUGCAGCUAACGCAUUAAGCACUCCGCCUGGGGAGUACGGCCGCAAGGCUGAAACUCAAAGGAAUUGACGGGGGCCCGCACAAGCGGUGGAGCAUGUGGUUUAAUUCGAAGCAACGCGAAGAACCUUACCAGGUCUUGACAUCCUCUGCCAACCCUAGAGAUAGGGCGUUCCCCUUCGGGGGACAGAGUGACGGGUGGUGCAUGGUCGUCGUCAGCUCGUGUCGUGAGAUGUUGGGUUAAGUCCCGCAACGAGCGCAACCCUUGAUCUUAGUUGCCAGCAUUCAGUUGGGCACUCUAAGGUGACUGCCGGUGACAAACCGGAGGAAGGUGGGGAUGACGUCAAAUCAUCAUGCCCCUUAUGACCUGGGCUACACACGUGCUACAAUGGAUGGUACAAAGAGCUGCGAACCCGCGAGGGUAAGCGAAUCUCAUAAAGCCAUUCUCAGUUCGGA